RNAcentral lists this small RNA (125 nucleotides) under Marmota monax (woodchuck). Lineage: Eukaryota; Metazoa; Chordata; Mammalia; Rodentia; Sciuridae. The record is from RNAcentral.
GCCAGGCACGGUGGCGCACACCUGUAAUCCCAACAGCUUGGGAGGCAGAGGCAGGAGCAUCAUGAGUUCCAAGCCAGCCUCGACACUGAGAGGCCCUAAAGCAACUUAGAGAGACCCUGUCUCAA